GCAGAUACGUGGGCUCGACGGCCAAGAGGGAUGAGGGUGUGUGGAGAAGGCGUAUGCUCCUUGCUUGGCUAACCCACUCUAAUGCAUAGUGUCCAGUUAUAGCACACAUUUAAACUUGAACCCUGUUUCUUCAGUAAAGAUCCAUUUCCCAUUUUUUGGAACGAAAUUGAGUCUUUUUGUUUUGCCUAAUAACUUUUACAUUGAUUACUGUUACUUGCUUCCAUGACAGAAGCUAUUCAUGCAUUAUUUGUUGCACAGACACUGAGGGCUGUGUAUGAGCCAGGCUCUGUGCUAAGUGAAAGGUAUAAAAGAGGUUAAUACUUAGAGCUGGCCCUGCCCAGAUAAAACAGAGGACCCGGUAGGAAACUGGGAACAAGGAUAUGAUAAACAAAUAUAUAAUUGCAAAGCAAAUGUGGCACAAAUGUUUACAUCGGUUAAAUCUGGGUGUUGGGAUAUGGGCUGCUAUUGUAUUAGCUUCUGAACUGUAUGAGCUUCUGAAUAUAUAUUUGAAAUAAAUCCUAAGUGAAAAAAAAAUGAAAAAAAAAGUUGGAAGUGUGGUGAUUUUUUGAGGAGCGAGUCUUUGGUAGAACAUGGAGUGUCACUCGGACUUGCUUUGGGCAGAGUAGUCCGGGAAGAGCAGAGCGCACCUCCUCCUCCUCGCUUGCCUGUGUGGGAGGGAUGAGGACCCUUCGGAUGGGGUUCAGAGAAGAGUCACGAAGAUGGCUGAUGGCACGGUUGAAAGUAAGACCUCUGAGAACAGUCCCGAAGAACCGGGGAUGCUGAGCAGGGGGUGAAGUCUACCUGAUGCAGCAACUUAGGCUAUCUUUUCCGUACAUUUAUAGGGACUCUUACACCGCCACGUUCUGCUCAGUCAUGUCCCAUACUGAACAGCAGGCAAGGUGGGUUAUUCAGCUUAGAAAUAUGUGUGAGAGGAAAAGUGAAAUUUUGUUCUUCAACCAAGGAAAAAUUGGCAGGGACCUGAGAGACAAACUAGCUCGGCCUUCCUGUGAAGACAUAGCUCUCUCACGUUCUUAACAAGUGGUCAGCACGUUACUUUCUGUGCUUCCUCUAACUCAGGAUGGGGCGGUGGGGAGGGGGCAUUCACUCUGGUUUACUUCUGUUGAGCAGGUCUUCUUUCCAUCCCAUAUGUACACCCCAGACUCCUCUUUCCCUCGGUACGUUUGCCAGAAGAAGCGCUUCCCACCUGGAAUGCCUGCCAAUUUGACUUACUCUUCCAGGUCCCGUAUCUCCAUUGCCUUUCUCUACACAACCUGCAAAUAGUAGUUUUCCCAUCUUAUCUUCCUGAAGAGUGUGGCAUUCCUAGAAGUGUCCGUAGUUUCCUCCUUCAGUGCAAGGGUGGGCAGAGUCAGUGUCAUAAUCUAGGUGGGGGUUAGAGGGAAGUGUCUGGUUUGACAUCUUCCCCUCCAGAUGCUGGUAUGCCACCCUCUUGAGAAUCACUAUUUUAUAGCAGCUAAUAUUUUCAUCUUCUUAGCUUUAUUUAUUGUUAUUGCUUAAACGUUUGUUUAUUUUCAUUUAUUUUAAGUAGGCUCCACACCCAGGGUGGAGGCCAGCAUGGGGCUUGAACUCAUGACCCAUGAGAUCAAGAGUCAGAUGCUCAACCAGUGGAGCCACCUAGGCGCCUCUCAUCUUUGCUGUAGAUGGUGUACUAGUUAUUUUGUUUCCUAUUGCCUUUUUUGCCAACGAGGUUUUAAGCACUCUAAGCAUAUGGAAACUUGGCCGGCAUCUCUGUAAUGCCCAGUAUUGAUCAUGGAGUGAAUAUGCAGUCAUCAAUGCCUAAUGGCCAAAGGACCACCUGUUUCUUUCUCAAGACCGUUACGGAAGGCUGUUACUUAUAUAAAUCUGAUAUUAAGUUGGCGCAGAUACUAAAUAAUUAACAUUUUGUAGUUUUAAGAUGGCAGAAAGCCAAGUGUUGGGGGUCUAAUUCAUUCAGAUGUCAUCUUAGAAACCUCCUUUAUAAGACUUCUAACCUUCGCCAUUCAAAGUGUAAUCUACAGGUGAUGCUGACGCUAUCACCUGGAAGCUUCUUAAAAUGGAGACUCUGAGGCCCCACAUCAGACCUACUGAAUCAGAAUCUGCAUUGUUAACAGGAUCCCCAGCUGUGCUGUAUUAUGCACAGGAAAGUUUGGGAAACAACGUUUUAACCUCCCAGAAUUCAGAUAUUUAGGAGGAGCAUUUAUUGUCAAAGUGAAGUAAGUCUGGAAAGGAAGAUUCCUUGGUCUGUGGAUGAGCUCCCCAGUGCUCUCUGCAGGGUGGCCUGAUACUAUCCUGCGUCAUGCCGGAGCUUCCAGGCCAGAAGAUGCCUCUGGAGGAGAGUCCUGGACUCCUUUAAGUGGGUGAUACUCACGUGUCAGACGUGAAGGUGAUUACAGGAAUUUGAAGCAGUUGCUGGAGUGAGAAGCCAGGAGAGCUUGGCAGAGGCAGAAAAACAUGGCCUACAACCUAAAACGGAAAAUAAUGGAAGAUGUCUUACCUUUAUAAUAGGAAACCACUUCCGACGCUGUGGGCUUGGAUUCAUCCGAAACUCUGAUGCCUCCAGAGCCAGCACGUCACAAAUAAAACCAGCUGGAUGUGCUGUGCGUGGAGACCUUGUGGUGAUGAGGGUCAUGGGGGCAUCCGUCCUCCGAGGGGAAGGUGGGGUUGCGCUAGGCUCGCUCAGUUGUUGUCACGUGGGAAUUUGAGUCCAGUAUGGCCGCAUCUUCACAUUUUUCAAAUGAAGCUAAAAAUGUAAGUUUGUAUGUAAAACAUCUCUUGAGUGGUAAUUAAAAUGUUUUGAGAACAGCACAGGCCAAACAAAAUUUAUAUGCUGCCUGCAUCUGUUUUACGACUCUUGUUCUGGAGCAACAGAACCUGUGAGACGGUAUCCAUGCCAGGCCUGUGCAGUGCGGGGCACCGAACACAGGCAGAGGUGAUUUGGCCUUGAUAGAGACCAUUUUGGAUCUUUAUUAAGUUAAAAAAAAAAAAAAAAAAAAAAA
Molecule: long non-coding RNA, 2993 nt
Filed under: Canis lupus familiaris (dog)
Lineage: Eukaryota; Metazoa; Chordata; Mammalia; Carnivora; Canidae
Description: lncRNA (ENSCAFG00000055993.1)
Source: RNAcentral